GUACUUGCUUCACCAGCACAUAGACUAAAAUUGGAAUGAUACAGAGAAAAUUAGCAUGGUCCCACACAAGGAUGACAAGCAAAUUUGUGGGGCGUUCCAUAUUUUU
Small nuclear RNA from Tupaia belangeri (northern tree shrew), 106 nucleotides. The record is from Ensembl. Lineage: Eukaryota; Metazoa; Chordata; Mammalia; Scandentia; Tupaiidae.